UCCAAAAGUCGACCUGUGGAAGUAUAAAUAUUCUACUUAUCUUAAGUGGCUUAUUUACAAAAUUACCUAUGCAAUUACACAUACAGCGUGUGUGUGCACUGUGCAGAUCUACUAAACUUUAUAUAUAAUCAUGUGUCUCUACGACUUUUAACUUUACAAGUUUAUAGUACAAGUUUCAACGGGAACGAAAUCAACGGAUAAGAUGUUUGUUGUGUUUGUCCUGCACUACUUAACAAAGAUUUAAAAUGUCAUAUAAAUUUUGUAACUUGUAACUUUAUUUUCUUGUGUAUCGCUGAUUUUGUUCAUAUUUACAACUUACAAACAAUAGAAAGACAUUGUACCUUUUCUUAUUUACACCGUCGUCGAUUACAAUAUGAAGGAUCGCAGUCGCAACUUCGGGUGUACAAAUAAAUAAAUGCUCUUAUUCUUCCAAUUUAACGAAAAUAAGGGAAUGUUAAUAUAAGUACAAGCUACCUAUGAAUUCUUUCUAAAGCUCAUAACGUAAAAAUAUAUAAGUUAUCACAACAGUCAAGAAAACAUCAUAUGUAACUUUAAUAGCGAAUCAAGUUGUGAAUCGUUUUAUAAGCAUGUCACGUCAUAAACAAUCGAAUAAUUGGAGAAACGAUUGUAGGACUAACUGGAGAAGUCAGGAUGAUGAACCAGGUCCUGCGAAUUAUGCCAAUUUUAAUGAACAGCAAAGUGAUGGAACAAGUAAUUCAAGGGACAGAGGUAGAGACUUUCCAUCGAACCGAAGAGGGAGGGAUAUCGGGAUGUUUUACAAAAACAGAAGAAGUGAUACAGGUGGCGGAAGUUCUGCCAGUUAUACCAAGCAACAAAGCGAUGAUGCAGGCCAUUCUAGAGGUAGAGAACGACAUCCUCCUCAUUUGAAAGGAAGAGAAAUUGGGAUGUUUUAUAAAGAACGAAGCAUGAAGAAAGAAAAAAAGGAAAAAAAACAGCAUGAAACUAAGGUAUUUAAAUUAAGGCCUGCCAUUGAGCAAAGAAUCCGAUCUCUGAUGGAAGAACCAAGGAGCUCGUACGACAGACAGCUUUAUGCAAGGGAUCAGAAUUUCUCCAGGAGUGAUAUUGAAUCUAGAUAUGAUCACAUCAACGACUCUCAGUUCAAGAGAAAAUUCCUCAAUAUUAUUAGUGGUAAUUUGCAAGAUAAUUUGGCAAAAUCUUUGUAUUCUGAACCAAAGUUGCGUAGAAAUGAAAGUAUAGACAAACAGUUGUUACACGAGUUGAAUAGAACUAUGGAAAGUACUCAGCACAAAAAUAUGUUAAAAUUUCGUGCUCGAUUACCAGCAUAUCAAAUGAGACACGAAAUUGUUGAUCUUAUUAAUAGAAACCAAGUUAUAGUUAUAAGCGGUGAAACAGGUUGUGGUAAGACUACUCAAGUUGCUCAGUUUAUAUUAGAUUACGAAAUUGAAUGUGGUAGAGGUAGUGUCACAAGUAUUGCUUGCACUCAGCCCAGAAGAAUAUCAGCGAUAUCGGUGGCUGAAAGAGUUGCUAGUGAAAGAGCGGAAACUGUAGGAAAAUCUGUAGGAUUUCACAUACGUUUGGAAAGGAAACUGGCUAGAUCUUACGGAAGCAUAUCCUUUUGCACCACUGGUAUGUUAUUGCAAUUCAUGCAGUCCGAUCCGGCUUUGAGAGAUUACUCUCACAUUAUUUUAGAUGAAAUUCACGAACGAAGUACACAAAGUGACUUUAUUAUUACUUUACUUAAAUCAGUCAUUCCUAAGAGGCCUGAUUUGAAAGUUAUUUUAAUGAGUGCGACAUUAAAUUCUGAACAAUUUUCCGCGUAUUAUGGAAAUUGUCCAAUGAUUCACAUUCCCGGGCUUACUUAUCCUGUUGAAGAAUUUUACUUAGAAGAUGCAAUAGCAGCAACAAGAUUUCAAUUUCCGGUGGAUCCCAAUGUCCCUGGUAAGGCCAAAGGCCAUGGAAAAAAAGCUAUGAAAAGAAGAGAAGCAUUGAAAAAACUCGAAGAGUACAAUAACCUCAUAAAACCAUACAUCAAGCACUUGGAAAGAUUGCAAACUUAUCCCUCUUUCGUGUUUAAAGAAUUGGCAAAUCCUAAGUGUGAGGAGCUUUCACUAAAUCUCAUUAUGGAAUUAACAAAAUACAUUUGUGUGACAAAAGGUCCUGGUGCAAUAUUAAUUUUUUUGCCUGGUAUAAUGGACAUUUCAAAAUUGAACAGAAUGAUGCUUGAGAGCGGUCAUUUUCCAAAAGAUAGGUACACAAUUUAUCCGUUGCACUCGAGAAUGCCGACCGUCGAUCAGAAACUCAUUUUUGAAGUGCCAGAGGAAGAUAUCCGUAAAAUAAUAAUUGCAACCAAUAUUGCUGAAACAUCCAUAACGAUAGAGGACGUUGUAUACGUUAUUGACAGUGGAAAAACUAAAAUGUCUAAUUUUGAUGUCAUGAAUAAUUUACAAACACUGGAAGCGGAAUGGGUGAGCUGUGCCAAUGCAAAGCAGCGCAGAGGUCGAGCUGGAAGAGUAAAACCGGGAGUAUGCUACCAUCUGUACACAAAAGCUCGCGCUCAAACAUUUGACGAAUACCCUCAACCAGAGAUGCUCAGAACUCGUUUAGAGGAAGUGAUCCUUCAAGUAAAAAUCUUGCAAAUUGGCAAAGCCCAUAAGUUCUUGUCCAGCGUUAUGGAUCCACCUAAUCCCGAGGCGAUCGAGCUUUCUAUAAAUUUACUGAGACAAUUGAACGCUCUUGACGAAAGAGAGAACUUGACUCCACUCGGCUAUCACUUGGCUCAGCUACCUUUAGAUCCUCGAACGGGGAAAAUGAUACUUUGGGCUGCGAUGUUCUCUUGUAUCGAUCCGAUAUUUUCGAUAGCUGCCAGUCUUUCGUUCAAAGAUGCUUUCUACUGUCCAAUAGGUAUGGAGGAAGAGGCUCGACAAAAGAAAUUGGAGCUGGGAAUGAACCAGUUUAGCGAUCACAUAGCUCUAGCUGAAGCUCUAAGGCGUUUCGAAAGCAUGCGGGGAAACGCGUGGGGUUUUUGUAGAGAAUACUUUCUCUCCUGGAACACGCUGAAACUACUAUCUGACAUGAAACAUCAGUUUUCAAAUUAUCUGUGCGAUAUGAAGUUUUUGAAUAGCAGGAAUCCAAAUGACGACUAUGCAAAUCGAAAUUCACACAACAAGUCGCUCAUCAAAGCUAUCGUCUGCGCUGGGUUGUAUCCAAAUAUCGCGAUUAUUAAAAGAGCAACAAAGAAAACAGUAAAGGCAAUAACAAUCGAAAAAGAACUCGUGAACUUGCACCCGGCUAGUGUGAAUGAUAAAAAAGCCGAGUUUCCUAGUCCAUACUUGACGUACUUCUUGAAGAGAAAAUCCACGGCGAUUUAUCUAUUUGAUACCACAGCUGUCAGUCUUUUGGCACUACUGUUUGCUUCUCCAAAUAGUUCUAUGAGAACACAAUAACUGCAAGAUUACAAUUGCAAACGACUUAUCUUUUAUGUGUGAUCUGUCGACGGCAGCAAUAAUACAGAAACUUCACGAAAAAAUGGA
RNAcentral lists this unclassified non-coding RNA (3512 nucleotides) under Copidosoma floridanum. Its description in RNAcentral is "aTP-dependent RNA helicase DHX36, transcript variant X3". The record is from RNAcentral. Lineage: Eukaryota; Metazoa; Arthropoda; Insecta; Hymenoptera; Encyrtidae.